UACAGAGGGCCCAAGCGUUGUUCGGAUUCAUUGGGCGUAAAGGGUGCGUAGGUGGCGGGGCAAGUCUGGUGUGAAAUCCCGGGGCUCAACCCCGGAACUGCACUGGAUACUGCUUUGCUAGAGUACUGGAGAGGGAACUGGAAUUUACGGUGUAGCAGUGAAAUGCGUAGAUAUCGUAAGGAAGACCAGUGGCGAAGGCGAGUUCCUGGACAGUUACUGACACUGAGGCACGAAGGCCAGGGGAGCAAACGGG
RNAcentral lists this ribosomal RNA (253 nucleotides) under uncultured bacterium. Its description in RNAcentral is "partial 16S ribosomal RNA". It matches the Rfam family "Bacterial small subunit ribosomal RNA", at positions 524 to 776 of the family's 1533-position model. The record is from RNAcentral.